Molecule: non-coding RNA, 6279 nt
Organism: Macaca mulatta (Rhesus monkey)
Lineage: Eukaryota; Metazoa; Chordata; Mammalia; Primates; Cercopithecidae
Source: RefSeq, a predicted model, not a curated record
GUUAUGUCUUUGUUAGCAGCAUGGGAACAGACUAAUACACUUGCCUUUCAGAUUUUGCAGGCAGGAGUCAGGUGUGUGCACAAGAACCACACAUUAGGCCUUAGGCUCUCUGAGGAGUUCUUUUGACAUCUUUUCCUUUAGAAGUGAGGUGAGGGCAGAACCCCACCUUUAGACAUGACUUGGUGGGAGGAAGCUCAGAAUAUAAACUCUCACCACAGGCCCUUUCCAUAAUCAAACAAUCUCUACCACCCACCCCACCCCCCCGCCACCCAAAACGAGAACAACAAAAAACCCAACUAAAAAUCUCUUAGUUAUCUCUUAAUGUCUAAACCUUAUACCCUGGACAUGAGUGAGAGGAUUAAGAAUUGAACCUCCUUUGAAAUUGUGCCACCAUGGCCAAAUGAUAUCUAUGCUUCAUGACUUUAGCCUAAAGUCCAUUUUAACAUUUUGUACACACACACACACACACACACACACACACCCACACCACAGAUAAACAUAAGAGUUUGCAUUCAUCUAUAAAUCUCAUCAGUCCCUGGAACUCCCAAUAACAAGGAGAAAGUAAGUUGGGGGAUUGUACCUCACAUUUCCUUCUAUAUCUUCUUUUUCUCUUAAUUCUCUUCUGGAUGUUCAUUGUGACCUCAUCUUACCAGCAGGGGUGUGUGUGUGCGUGCAUGUGCUCAGAGGUGGUGUGGAGAGGGGGCAGAGUAUGAUUCUCCCGGAGGGUGGUUUAGUCUGAGCCCUAACAGUCCUCUGGGUUCAGUGCUGGGUCUCAUAUCCUAUGGGUCUCACAUCCGAUGGGCUGUCUGGAUGCUUUUUAAGUGGAGCAGUAGGAAGGAUGAAUGCUACUGCUGGCAUCACUGUUUGCUACAACAGCAUUUAAAAGAAGGCCUGAGUCAAUUAGGACAUCAAAUAAUCCUAUUGCUUUUAUAAUACCUAAAUAUUGAAUAUUUAAAAGGUAAGCAGGCUUGAAAUUUGAAAUGGAAAGAAAAUGUCCCUUUAAGUCGUUAAGGAGUGUUAGGAGCCAUAAGCCUCUGAAAAAAAGUUAGAAGUUCGAAGAAUUCAUAAGUCAGAGAACUUGGGUUACAUUUAUAAAUAUGUAGACCUUACAGUAAUAAAAUCAGAGCAAACUCAGAGGUCCACUUAGGAAGGUGACCAGAGAAUAAGUCAAGUAACUGCACUCAUAGCCAAUUUGGAAUUCUGUCUCUAGGAAAAUGGUUACUAUAAGAUAUUCACAGAUAAGUCAGAGAAGGAAAGAAGUCACAAAAGAGAUGUGAGGUGGUUAAGAAAGCAGAUUUUAGAAUGACAGUGGAGAAGUGAAUUCUGGCUAAAUAAUUUGUGACCUGGGUGGCCUUAGGAUGCAUGUAGAGGAUUUUUGGCCUCAAUUUUCUCACCUGUAAAUUGGUACCUAUCUUACAAGGUGGUCAUGAGAAUGCUAGCAGUGUUUUUGGUACAUAGUAAGUGCUCAAUAAAUAUUAGCUAUUACUAAAUCUUGAUUUUCCCCCUAGAAACACCAUGUAUCUCAUACAAAGAUGAACCUUUCAAAUAAAGAGAGGUUGUAAGACAAAACACUGAAUUCAAGUGAUUACCAGUAAGAAAGUAGUUUAGAUUUUAUACUGAUAUUAAUUUGAUUACAUAAUCACAAAGAUAAAUAGUUGACUCUGUUUUAGUCAUAAAAGAGAAAAAGUGCACCAAAAAAGUGUUUAAUUUGACAGUUAUUUUGCUGUGGUUUGUGUGAGUGUGUGUGUGUGUGUUUAGUCUACUUCCAGACGAGAGAAAAACAAUUCCAUAAAGGUUAUUUCACUAUCUGAGCAUGUUCUUUCAUAUUGGUUUAUAGGUACACCUAUUAUAGACUCACUCUUUAGUUAUGGGGAUGUGAUCCUUGUUAUUUAGAACAGACCACAUGCAGGAACCAACAAACCCUAAAGGCCACUGGAUUCUAUUAACAGAGAUUUACUUCUCACCCAUGCCACAGCCUUCUGGAGAGCAGGCAGUUCCUCUGAAGGGCUCUCCUCCAGUGUUGAUAUGGAGACCUAGACCCAUUUUAUACUGUGGCUCUCCUGUUUCCUAGAGCCUCUUUGGUGUUCUUCCAUGAAUCUUUAGCUUUCUCCGGCUGAUGAGUAAAGGUAUAGAAUGAAAAUGAUUGUGUGGGAUGUUUUAUAUGCAGCUUGGAGGUGGCAGUCAUCAUUCCUUCCCAUAUUUCUUUGGCCAGAACCUGAUCACAUGGCCCUCAAAAAGCUGCAAGGAAAGAUAGGAAGCGUAGGUUUUUUGCCUCCCCAGGGUGGGAAAGAGAGGCUGGAGAGCAUUUAAUUAGUCUGCCGCUUGACUGUUGUUGAUGCUGAAUUGAAGAAGAGUUUUUGUAUUGAGUAAGGCUUUACAGAAUGGUUGCAGCAGGCUGUGUUGGCAGACCUUGGCUCUUAGAUUAAGGCAAAAACUUUAAACUUCAAAAUGUGAAUCUGUGCAUUAAUCUGCAAAGUAGGGAGAACCUAUUUGAGUAGAACGGCACCUGAUCUAGUGGGAAGGUAGAACACGUUUUUGUUUCCUUAGGUCAAGUUGCUGAGGAAAUGGCAGUAAUGUUAUGCUUACUUGAUAUCCCCAUAACAUCAGGGCUCUUCCUGAUACAUCCCAGAGAACACUGAAGCCCCUUUCACUCGUUGAAGCCCCUUUCACUCGUUGUUCUAAUUUAACUUGAGUUAUCCUGAUAUAAUUUCCCUUAACAUGCUUCCAUUUUCCCAUCUAAGUCUGGAAAAUCAAAAUGGCCUUUGCCCUACCAUGAUGCAUGGAUUCAGACAUUAGUUACUGAAGUUCUCUUAUGACACUACAAUAAGAAUCAUUUUGGCUAUAUUUAUAGAUAGUAAGAUGGCUUUACAACAAGGUAGAAACUUUCAGCUCAUGAAAAAUUCGUUCAAUAAGAGCAAUUUGUAGAAGCACAACACAAUGUUCUCAAGUAAACGUUAUCCUACAUGCCUGCCAGCUCCUCAUUUGAGUAAUCAGCCCCAUGAGAGAAUGGGCAAAUAUGGUAAACCGUGCAUCAACUUUGAGAGGAAGAACUCAAGUCUGCCCUCACAGAGUUUUUGAAUGCCAAAUGGGCUGUGUGAUGCAUGGCUUGGUACUAUUUUGGUCAAGGCUGGAUUGUCUGUGACCCUCAACAUCUCUGUUCCUUUGUCUCCCAAUUUCCGGCGUUGAUAAGCUGGAUCAGAUGAUCACUGUCAUUCAUUUCAGCUUUCAGAGUCUGUCCUUUGCUCUUUCUGCCACCCAGCACACUUAAGGAAUGUCUCUGCCCAUUUCUUCUUCUUCCCCACCCCGUUCUCUGCUGUGGGCCCAAGAAAAGGGAAAAGCAAUUUAAUUUUAAUAUGAUCUGAAGUCAGACGUAAUUAGAAAGACAAAUCUGCUGGAAAAAAAAUCUGCAUUCCAAAGCUAAAUACUAUAGUGUUGGCAGUCAGUCGAGCACCAACCUAGCACAUUAACUGUGCUCCAUGAGGCUUUCACUGAAGGUAAUACUAUGUUUUAAGAGGGUAUAAUGCUACUCCUGGUAUUUCCAAAUUCUUAAGAGUAACAAACUAUGAAAAAAUAGGAUUUAUUUGUAUGUACAAGUUUUAUAGAUAUCUUUUGAUUUUGCAAGGUAGAGUAUCAGACUGGGGCAAUGUUAUCAAAGGACCGCUUAGGAUGUUGUUAAAAAUACAGAUUUCUGGGCCCCACUCAGAAAUCAAUCAAUCUGACUAUGAUUGGUUAAUUUCUAUGGUCAAUUUUCCAGGAUAGAAUUAAAUACUCUGAAUAUUGGACCAACUACCCAGUUUGAGAGCUCACUAAAAGUGUGGCAACCAUUAAAGAAGUUGGACAAAUCACAGAAUUUUCCCUGCCUGUACAAGGAGACGAUCAACCUUUACUCUGCCACACAGAACUGUUGCACAGGUUAAAAGUAAAGCAUGUGCUCCAAAGCCCUUUGCCGGAUGAAAAUUCCUCUGCCAACAUCAGCUUAUGUUGUUAUUGUCAGGGGCAACUAAAACAUAGACUGACAACCAUCUUCUGCUUUUACAUCUUCUUGAAAAUGUCUCAGGUCUCUUUCCUCUUGGGAGCUUAGGCAUGGAGUAUCAGAGUGUGAUGUGUUUAUUCUGCACCCCCUACUUUAAUGGAGCUUAUGUCAACUGCAGCAGCUCCAAAGUGCUUGUGGAGUUAACCAUAGCAAGGUUUCAUUUGUGCACUUACAGAUUUUAAAGGCGACAAGCUGAGUGUUCUCUUCUGUUCAUCAGGGACACAAACAAAGCUAUUAGCUCUAGGUCCAGGGAAAGGGAAAAAAAAAUCACUUUUCAUAUUGUGCAACCAACCCUAAACCAGGUCAAUCUCUCCUUCAUUGCUGGCUAAUAUCCAAGUCACAGUGAAAAGCUGAUGUUUUUGUUUAGAAUGGAUUUUUGCAGUGUUUAUAAACCAAGUCUCCUUGAAAUUUUCAUUAGGAGGAUCACACAGUUCACCUCUUGUCCUGCCCUUUAUCCUUUCUGCUGGAAUAGUUGAGUGAUUUUGAAAAUUCUCACUAGUUUAAUUGAUUAGUAAGGAGAGUUAUUUUUGAAAGUCACCUUCUGCAAAGCAGAACUGAGAUUGACACCCAGUCAAGAUGCUGUGACCUUUGUUUAUGUAGCACAGAGAAUGAUGAGAAUGUGACCUUCAUUACAGCUUUGAAUGUGUGAGGAAGGGGAGGGAAGGAUCAUUUAUCAACUCAGUGCCAACACUUUACUAGGCACCAAAGGCCUGUUAUGCCAUUGAAUCCUAAUAAUUUAUAAUCCUGUGACAUGGGUAUUAUGAUUACUAUAUUUAUAGGCAAGGAAACUGAAGCUCAAGUGGUUACUUCAUUAGUGGGUGGUGGAGCCAGGUUACUCCCAAAUGUAACCACUUAAGACAAUAACCAUCUAUUAUUGCUCACAGUCUGUAGCCAGCAUCAGUUGACUGGUUGGCUGGGAUGUUCUGUUGAUCUGGGUGAGGCUUGGCUAAUUUUGGUUGGGCUUGCUCAGGCACUUGCAGCGCAUUGGCUGGUUGGCUGGUGUGUGUGUGUGUGUGUGUGUGUGUGUGUGUGUGUGUGUAUGUGUGUGUAUGUAUGUGUGACUUUGUUAGGAUGGCCUUACUCAUGUGUUUGGCAGUUGGCUGACUGUUGGCUACAGUGAUGGGGCUAUGAAAGAUGGCCACUACAAUAUAUAUCUCUUUUUACAAUGUGACACUGAUAGUUUCUUUGUCUCUGUGUUCCUCUCCUUUGAAUCUGGGCAGAACUUUGUGACCGCCUUGACCAACAGAAUGUGGUGGGUUUAAUGGCAGGCCAACUUCCAGGCUUCCGCCUUGAGAAACUGGCAGUUUCCACUUCCUUCCUUGUGCAACGUUGCUCUUGGAACUCUCCUACAAUGCUGUGUGGCAGUGGAGCAGCCACAUGAAGAGGUCAGGUAUGCAUGUCUCACCACCAGUCCCUGCUGAGGUCCUGGUGGGCAGCAGCAUCAACCAACAGACAUGUAAGUGAAUGAGUGAGUGAGCGAGCCUGCAGAUGACUCCAGCUCCAAGAGGCUGAAUGACUCCCAGACACUGAGUCACCCCCAGCCUUUGAGGUUUCCCAGUGGAUGCCACAUGGAGCAGAGGUGAGCUGUCCGUGCCAGACCCUGCCCAAAGUGCUGAUUUGUAGGCUGAAUAAAUAAUUGUUGUCUUGAGUUGCUGCAUUUGAGGUGGAUGGUUAUGCAACAAUAGAGAACUGAAAUAGAGGAUAGUUUGUCCAUGUGUCUCAUAUCAUUCAGCCUGCUAGACCAGGUUUGUUUGCAUGGUAGCUAGCAGGUUCUGAGCGGCAGAGGGAGAGAGGGAGAUGGGGAAAGAGGGAGGGAGGGAGAGAGAGAGAGAGAGAGAGAGAAAGAGAGAGUGAAAACACAAAAGGUCUCUUGAGGCCUAGGCUCAAAACUAGCACACUGUUACUUCUAUUGCAUUCUGUUGUGCAAAGCAAAUAACACGACCAACCCAGAUUCAAGAGGAGUGGAGUAGACUCUGCCUUUUGAUGGGAGGAGUUGAAAGUCACAUCAAAAAGUGCUCAUAUAAAGCCAGGAAUGAAGCCUUGUGGUCAUUUUUGCAACCUACUACAUUAUGCCACCUCCUAAGGCUUAUGGAUAACUCAGUCCCAUGGUGACCAAGAGAAGUUCUCCAGAGGCUACCUCAUCUAUAAUAUCUCAAGAGACUGAAUACAGAAGCAGAUAUUAAAAAAACUUUUUUCCUAAAAUUAUUUGUAUUUUGAAAAAUAUACUUAAAAAAUCAAACUGUUAA